This is a long non-coding RNA of Camelus dromedarius (Arabian camel), 1135 nucleotides long. RefSeq lists it as uncharacterized. The transcript is spliced from 3 exons. NCBI's taxonomy places the organism in Eukaryota, Metazoa, Chordata, Mammalia, Artiodactyla, Camelidae. The record is from RefSeq and is a predicted model, not a curated record.
CGCGCCGCGGCUCCGCCUGCAGAGCCCCGGGGAGAUAAGCGCGCAGGAGUCAGCAGGUUGGACGGGAGAGAUACCCGCGGGAAGGGGACCGGCCGAGCAGCCUCGGGAGAGAUAGCGUUUCCUGCCUUCAAACAUUGUAUCAACACAAGGAAUUGAGACAGUUACCCGAGUGGACAGUUUUCAUCAGCAGCAAUGUCAUCAGGCACUUGGGAGAUGGCUGCUCCAGGAGUGGAGACACCCAAAGCAACAUCUCCUUUGGAAGAACCACAGGAAAACGUCUCACCCAGGACCGCCAAUUUGGGAGGAAAGAAGAGACGUGGCAGGGCUCUGGUCUUCGAGUCACUGCCUGCCCCGGUUUGUGCAUGCCGGCAGCUUUUGGCUCUGUACCUGUUCUGUGACAGCCAGUGACACUCCAAACCCCUGAUGCCUCUGGCCUGUAUUGCCCAAGAAAUUCAUCUUCAGAAGUGACUUUAAAAUAAAACAAAACAAAGCCCAAAAUUCAUCCCAAAAUUGCUCAUAUGGUGCCCCAACCCAAAACCCAAGGAUGGUGUCUUAAUUACCAGGUUUUCCCUGGUUGGUACCCCCCAAAAAUACUGCUUUAAUUUUUAGAAAAUGAAUUGGAAUCAUUGCACCAUAAGAAGAGUUUGCUACAAGCGAGAGGAAUCAAAUUUUAUCUCUUUCCAUGUUGCCUAUAUUUAUUAAACAUUUCUCAUACACAUCACCUGAAUCAAGUCCCGGACUCUGAAACAAGCAACUGACCUGGAAACCACCGACCUAUUUGUAAAGAACUGUUAGGUAAUUUUAAAACUUUAAGUAAAAGUAACCAUUUCCACCCAUACUCCCUACACACCAACCUUUUUAUCAUUUCUAAGGAUGUGGAAGUCAUACUGGCCCUGAGACUAAUGUCCAGGGUGGGUCAGGUCACCCUACUUGCCUCCCACAUACUCUUCUCUGCCCCGGGACCAGGCACUAAAUCCACAUCCUGAAUAGAAAGCUCCACAUAUCUUCAGUUUAGUGAUUGCUCAGGGGCUGCCUUUCUUACCCAAAACCUUUGCUCCAGGUCCAUCUCCCUUAGCCCUCUCGGAAGUAUUGAAACGUUGGGGUGUACAGGGACUCAGGCACUGCCCCUACACCC